UGCUAACGGAGAAGAGCUCUGCAGCCUAGAGCAGGUGGAUACUGGAAAGGACCACACCGAGCAGCAGAAUGAAGCAGAGAUCCACAACUGGCUUAGUUAU
Long non-coding RNA from Gavialis gangeticus (Gharial), 100 nucleotides. RefSeq lists it as uncharacterized. The record is from RefSeq and is a predicted model, not a curated record. Lineage: Eukaryota; Metazoa; Chordata; Crocodylia; Gavialidae. The transcript has 3 exons.